Molecule: long non-coding RNA, 926 nt
Filed under: Ovis aries (sheep)
Lineage: Eukaryota; Metazoa; Chordata; Mammalia; Artiodactyla; Bovidae
Description: lncRNA (ENSOARG00000025869.1)
Source: RNAcentral
AUGAAGGAAAACAGGCCUUUUUGUGAACAUGAAACAGGCCUUUUUGUGAACGCGGCUCCCCGCGUUCCUCUGGCUGCCUGCCCGACGCAGGUCGGAUUGGAUGGGCCUGAUCACAGGAGGCUUCCAAGGGAGGCGGCUGGGAGCCGGGGGGCAGGAGCCGGAGGAGAGAGGGGUCCCUGGUGGGAGGAAUGGCCCAGGCGAGAGCUGGGGAACGGGCCCCUUCCUGCUUCUGCCCUUGCAAGGUGUGAAGCCAUGCGCCCCCAGGGGAGCCUCCUGAGAGGAGGGUGGGCCCUGUGUGCCCAAUACGGCUGUGGAGAGUGCGGGCAGGUGGGACUCCAGGCCUGGGCCAGCCCUUGUCCUCAGCCUCUGGCUGUCCCUCCGAGUCCCCCGUGGCCGUGUUCCUGGCCCCCUGCCUUCUUGCUGGGGAUCAAGGGGAAGCGUCAGGCCAUCUUUGUGCAGGAGGCUAGGGAUGUAGAGUUUGGCUUCUCCCAUGGGCAUCGGGAUCACGGGGGCAGGUGGCUGAACUUGCAGACGCUGGGUCCUCACUCCCAGCUCCAGGGCUGGAUGGGGCCUGGCCACCUGCUUUUUAACAGUCCUGGGUCCCCAGAGGUGGCCGGGGGCCCACAGAGCGCUCUGAGAAAUGCUGGGAGAGCCCUCAGCUUGGCCUGGCCCCAGGUGGGCCCUGGGGGCCUGCCUGUGGACCCUUGUCCCGCACACCCUCCAGCUCUUCCUCAGCACAGAUGGCAGGGCAGCAUUCUUGCAAUUUCUCACCGCGAGGCCUUCUUCCCUGGCCUUGGGCCCGGCCCACCUGCUCCCUGAAGAGCAGGUCCCUGUGGGUGGUGGAGGGCUUUUCCUCUAACAGCCACCUCUGCCCAAGAGACCCCCAAGCCCCUCCUGAGCUGCGGGGGCGCGUCUGCCCCCACCCC